RNAcentral lists this ribosomal RNA (508 nucleotides) under uncultured bacterium. RNAcentral describes it as "partial 16S ribosomal RNA". It matches the Rfam family "Bacterial small subunit ribosomal RNA", at positions 28 to 507 of the family's 1533-position model. The record is from RNAcentral.
GACGAACGCUGGCGGCGUGCUUAACACAUGCAAGUCGAACGGGCCUUGUCCCCUUUUUUUUUGGGGGUGGGGUUAGUGGCGAACGGGUGAGUAACACGUGAGUAACCUGCCCCUCACUUCUGGAUAACCGCUUGAAAGGGUGGCUAAUACGGGGUGUUCUGGCCUGCUCGCAUGGGCGGGUUUGGAAAGAUUCGACCGGUUUUGGUUGUUUUGGUGGGGGAUGGGCUCGCGGCCUAUCAGCUUGUUGGUGGGGUGAUGGCCUGCCAAGGCUUUGACGGGUAGGCGGCCUGAGAGGGUGGGCGGUCACACUGGGACUGAGACACGGCCCAGACUCCUACGGGAGGCAGCGGUGGGGAAUAUUGCACAAUGGGCGCAAGCCUGAUGCAGCGACGCCGCGUGAGGGAUGGAGGCCUUCGGGUUGGGAACCUCUUUCGCCAGUGAAGAAGGUCCUGCUCUUUGUGGUGGGGUUGACGGUAGCUGGGUUAAUGAAGCGCCGGCUAACUACGUG